Molecule: ribosomal RNA, 453 nt
Filed under: uncultured Porphyromonadaceae bacterium
Lineage: Bacteria; Pseudomonadati; Bacteroidota; Bacteroidia; Bacteroidales; Porphyromonadaceae
Description: partial 16S ribosomal RNA
Rfam family: Bacterial small subunit ribosomal RNA
Source: RNAcentral
ACGGAAGGCAGCAGUGAGGAAUAUUGGUCAAUGGGCGGAAGCCUGAACCAGCCAAGUCGCGUGAAGGAUGAAGGUAUUAUGUAUUGUAAACCUCUUUAGCAGCAGAGUAAUAAGGGGGUCGUGACCCCCGAUGCAAGUAUGCUGAAAAUAAGGAUCGGCUAACUCCGUGCCAGCAGCCGCGGUAAUACGGAGGAUCCGAGCGUUAUCCGGAUUUAUUGGGUUUAAAGGGUGCGCAGGCGGUUUUUUAAGUCAGUGGUUAAAUCGUGAGGCUCAACCUCAUCACGCCAUUGAUACUGGAAGACUUGAUUGCGGUUGAGGUUGGCGGAAUUCGUCGUGUAGCGGUGAAAUGCAUAGAUAUGACGAAGAACACCGAUUGCGUAGGCAGCUGACCAAGCCGUAAAUGACGCUCAUGCACGAAAGUGCGGGGAUCGAACAGGAUUAGAUACCCUGGUA